CUCUCCUCUCCUCUCUUGCGUUUCUUCCCUCUCGGCUUCUCCUCCCUCUCUCUUGACGGCGAGCGGCUAUGGCGACGGUGCAGGCGGUGGCCAAAGGGACCCUGGUCUCGCCGUGCGGCAACCGGGCCGCAGGAUUUGGUGCCCGGCGGCGCGGUGCCGUGGCGGCCCGCAUGUCGCCCUGCGCGCCGGCGGCGGUGCAGAUCGGCAGGAAGAGCCUGUUUCUUGGCGCCAGGCUCACGGUCGGUCCCAGGAGAACGAAGCUCGUUCCUCGGAAUCUAGUCGCCUCACCGAUGCAGAUGAAUCUUGCGUUUGCGAAAUCCACCAAGUGGUGGGAAAAGGGUCUGCAGCCCAACAUGAGGGAGAUUGAGUCCGCCCAGGACCUCGUCGACUCGCUGGCCAACGCCGGCGACAGGCUCGUCGUCGUUGACUUCUUCUCCCCUGGCUGCGGCGGCUGCCGUGCCCUCCACCCCAAGAUUUGCCAGUUUGCUGAACAGAACCCAGAUGUGCUCUUCUUGCAAGUGAACUACGAGGAACACAAGUCCAUGUGCUACAGCCUCCAUGUCCAUGUUCUGCCCUUCUUCAGGUUCUACAGGGGAGCCCAGGGCCGCCUCUGCAGCUUCAGCUGUACUAACGCAACCAUAAAGAAGUUCAGGGAUGCGCUUGCCAAGCACAAUCCGGAUAGGUGUAGCAUUGGCCCAACCAGGGGCCUCGAGGAGUCUGAGCUGCUGGCCUUGGCUGCGAACAAGGACCUGGAAUUCACCUACACGAAGCAGCCAGAACCAGUUCCGAGUGGAGACAGGGAGGUCAUUGCUCCUGGGAGCCCAAGGCUUCCUCCACCGGCAAAACCAUUGGUUCGGCAGGGGUCCGGAGAGAGGACCUUGGUCUCAUCAGGAAGAUGAGAUUGUGAUGUGACGACGGUCUAAAUGGGAUCGCGUCCAUCGGUUCUCUGUACAGUUUCUCGAUUGUUGUUGGUGUGUACAGAUUGUACUCUCUCAUGGUUGUGUAGAGUGCAGGCUUGAUAGAUUUUUACUACUUGCCAAGCCUGCCCCGCCUGUGUCUGCUAGAAGCGUAGAAGUAGAAGCAAUACUGUAGUAGUACCAGCAAGUAUUGUGGGUAAUCCUCUGCCAGUAAAUUGUAUGGUAGCUGAGUUAAUUUGAGUGCCAAUAUAUUCAGUUAUAUCGUGCCUGCGUUGCUCUUCUAUCAAAUACUCCUAUUUUUGAGUGCCAAUAUAUUCAGUUAUAUCG
Molecule: RNA transcript, 1244 nt
Organism: Triticum aestivum (bread wheat)
Lineage: Eukaryota; Viridiplantae; Streptophyta; Magnoliopsida; Poales; Poaceae
Gene name: thioredoxin-like 1-2, chloroplastic
Source: RefSeq, a predicted model, not a curated record